RNAcentral lists this ribosomal RNA (240 nucleotides) under uncultured bacterium. RNAcentral's name for it is "partial 16S ribosomal RNA". It matches the Rfam family "Bacterial small subunit ribosomal RNA", at positions 94 to 334 of the family's 1533-position model. The record is from RNAcentral.
AGUGGCGGACGGGUGAGUAACGCGUGGGUAACCUGCCUCACACUGGGGGACAACAGUUAGAAAUGACUGCUAAUACCGCAUAAGCGCACAGGACCGCAUGGUCCGGUGUGAAAAACUCCGGUGGUGUGAGAUGGACCCGCGUUUGAUUAGCUAGUUGGUGGGGUAACGGCCUACCAAGGCGACGAUCAAUAGCCGACCUGAGAGGGUGACCGGCCACAUUGGGACUGAGACACGGCCCAA